GUGAAUCAUCGAAUCUUUGAACGCACCUUGCGCUCCUUGGUAUUCCGAGGAGCAUGCCUGUUUGAGUGUCAUGAAAUUCUCAACCCUCCUCACUUUUGUGUGAAGGGCUUGGACUUGGGGGAUUGUUACUGCUGGUCUCUUCUGAUCGGCUCCCCUUGAAUGCAUUAGCCCGGGACCUUUGCCUCCCAGCCAGUUUCACGGUGUGAUAGUCUAUCAACGCCGGUGUUAAUUGGUGUUCAGGUGUGGCAAGACAGCGGUCCGGCUCUCUAACGGACUUUUGAAGUCAACUCUACCCAAUCUGACCUCAAAUCAGGUAGGACUACCCGCUGAACUUAAGCAUAUCAAUAAGCGGAGGA
RNAcentral lists this unclassified non-coding RNA (356 nucleotides) under Agaricomycetes sp. RNAcentral's name for it is "partial contains 5.8S ribosomal RNA, internal transcribed spacer 2, and large subunit ribosomal RNA". The stretch from base 1 to 71 matches the Rfam family "5.8S ribosomal RNA", at positions 84 to 154 of the family's 154-position model. Lineage: Eukaryota; Fungi; Basidiomycota; Agaricomycetes. The record is from RNAcentral.